This 468-nucleotide ribosomal RNA is filed under the name uncultured bacterium. RNAcentral's name for it is "partial 16S ribosomal RNA". It matches the Rfam family "Bacterial small subunit ribosomal RNA", at positions 28 to 507 of the family's 1533-position model. The record is from RNAcentral.
GACGAACGCUGGCGGCGUGCUUAACACAUGCAAGUCGAACGGAAAGGCCCUGCUUUUGUGGGGUGCUCGAGUGGCGAACGGGUGAGUAACACGUGAGUAACCUGCCCUUGACUUUGGGAUAACUUCAGGAAACUGGGGCUAAUACCGGAUAGGAGCUCCUGCUGCAUGGUGGGGGUUGGAAAGUUUCGGCGGUUGGGGAUGGACUCGCGGCUUAUCAGCUUGUUUGUGGGGUAGUGGCUUACCAAGGCUUUGACGGGUAGCCGGCCUGAGAGGGUGACCGGCCACAUUGGGACUGAGAUACGGACCAGACUCCUACGGGAGGCAGCAGUGGGGAAUAUUGCACAAUGGGCGGAAGCCUGAUGCAGAAACGCCGCGUGCGGGAUGACGGCCUUCGGGUUGUAAACCGCUUUCGCCUGUGACGAAGCGUGAGUGACGGUAAUGGGUAAAGAAGCACCGGCUAACUACGUG